AGGCAGCAGUGGGGAAUAUUGGACAAUGGGCGCAAGCCUGAUCCAGCCAUGCCGCGUGAGUGAUGAAGGCCUUAGGGUUGUAAAGCUCUUUUGUCCGGGAAGAUAAUGACGGUACCUGGAGAAUAAGCCCCGGCUAACUUGGUGCCAGCAGCCGCGGUAAU
This 161-nucleotide ribosomal RNA is filed under the name uncultured bacterium. Its description in RNAcentral is "partial 16S ribosomal RNA". It matches the Rfam family "Bacterial small subunit ribosomal RNA", at positions 346 to 524 of the family's 1533-position model. The record is from RNAcentral.